Molecule: ribosomal RNA, 534 nt
Filed under: uncultured bacterium
Lineage: Bacteria
Description: partial 16S ribosomal RNA
Rfam family: Bacterial small subunit ribosomal RNA
Source: RNAcentral
UGGGGAAUAUUGCACAAUGGGCGCAAGCCUGAUGCAGCCAUGCCGCGUGUGUGAAGAAGGCCUUCGGGUUGUAAAGCACUUUCAGCGAGGAGGAAGGUGGUGAAGCUUAAUACGUCAUCAAUUGACGUUACUCGCAGAAGAAGCACCGGCUAACUCCGUGCCAGCAGCCGCGGUAAUACGGAGGGUGCAAGCGUUAAUCGGAAUUACUGGGCGUAAAGCGCACGCAGGCGGUUUGUUAAGUCAGAUGUGAAAUCCCCGGGCUCAACCUGGGAACUGCAUUUGAAACUGGCAAGCUAGAGUCUCGUAGAGGGGGGUAGAAUUCCAGGUGUAGCGGUGAAAUGCGUAGAGAUCUGGAGGAAUACCGGUGGCGAAGGCGGCCCCCUGGACGAAGACUGACGCUCAGGUGCGAAAGCGUGGGGAGCAAAACAGGAUUAGAUACCCUGGUAGUCCACGCUGUAAAACGAUGUCNAUUUUGGAGGUUGUGCCCUUGAGGCGUGGCUUCCGGAGCUAACGCGUUAAAUCGACCGCCUGGGG